This 450-nucleotide ribosomal RNA is filed under the name uncultured bacterium. RNAcentral describes it as "partial 16S ribosomal RNA". It matches the Rfam family "Bacterial small subunit ribosomal RNA", at positions 354 to 796 of the family's 1533-position model. The record is from RNAcentral.
GUGGGGAAUAUUGGACAAUGGGCGAAAGCCUGAUCCAGCCAUGCCGCGUGUGUGAAGAAGGUCUUCGGAUUGUAAAGCACUUUAAGUUGGGAGGAAGGGCAGUAAGUUAAUACCUUGCUGUUUUGACGUUACCGACAGAAUAAGCACCGGCUAACUUCGUGCCAGCAGCCGCGGUAAUACGUAGGGUGCAAGCGUUAAUCGGAAUUACUGGGCGUAAAGCGCGCGUAGGUGGUUUUGUAAGUUGGAGGUGAAAUCCCCGGGCUCAACCUGGGAACUGCCUCCACAGCUGCAGUACUAGAGUACGGUAGAGGGUAGUGGAAUUUCCUGUGUAGCGGUGAAAUGCGUAGAUAUAAGAAGGAACACCAGUGGCGAAGGCGACUACCUGGACUGAUACUGACACUGAGGUGCGAAAGCGUGGGGAGCAAACAGGAUUAGAAACCCCUGUAGUCC